AAAUUGAAGAGUUUGAUCAUGGCUCAGAUUGAACGCUGGCGGCAGGCCUAACACAUGCAAGUCGAACGGUAGCACAGAGAGCUUGCUCUCGGGUGACGAGUGGCGGACGGGUGAGUAAUGUCUGGGAAACUGCCUGAUGGAGGGGGAUAACUACUGGAAACGGUGGCUAAUACCGCAUAACGUCGCAAGACCAAAGAGGGGGACCUUCGGGCCUCUUGCCAUCAGAUGUGCCCAGAUGGGAUUAGCUUGUUGGUGAGGUAACGGCUCACCAAGGCGACGAUCCCUAGCUGGUCUGAGAGGAUGACCAGCCACACUGGAACUGAGACACGGUCCAGACUCCUACGGGAGGCAGCAGUGGGGAAUAUUGCACAAUGGGCGCAAGCCUGAUGCAGCCAUGCCGCGUGUAUGAAGAAGGCCUUCGGGUUGUAAAGUACUUUCAGCGGGGAGGAAGGUGUUGUGGUUAAUAACCGCAGCAAUUGACGUUACCCGCAGAAGAAGCACCGGCUAACUCCGUGCCAGCAGCCGCGGUAAUACGGAGGGUGCAAGCGUUAAUCGGAAUUACUGGGCGUAAAGCGCACGCAGGCGGUCUGUCAAGUCGGAUGUGAAAUCCCCGGGCUCAACCUGGGAACUGCAUUCGAAACUGGCAGGCUUGAGUCUUGUAGAGGGGGGUAGAAUUCCAGGUGUAGCGGUGAAAUGCGUAGAGAUCUGGAGGAAUACCGGUGGCGAAGGCGGCCCCCUGGACAAAGACUGACGCUCAGGUGCGAAAGCGUGGGGAGCAAACAGGAUUAGAUACCCUGGUAGUCCACGCCGUAAACGAUGUCUACUUGGAGGUUGUGCCCUUGAGGCGUGGCUUCCGGAGCUAACGCGUUAAGUAGACCGCCUGGGGAGUACGGCCGCAAGGUUAAAACUCAAAUGAAUUGACGGGGGCCCGCACAAGCGGUGGAGCAUGUGGUUUAAUUCGAUGCAACGCGAAGAACCUUACCUGGUCUUGACAUCCACGGAAGUUUUCAGAGAUGAGAAUGUGCCUUCGGGAACCGUGAGACAGGUGCUGCAUGGCUGUCGUCAGCUCGUGUUGUGAAAUGUUGGGUUAAGUCCCGCAACGAGCGCAACCCUUAUCCUUUGUUGCCAGCGGUUAGGCCGGGAACUCAAAGGAGACUGCCAGUGAUAAACUGGAGGAAGGUGGGGAUGACGUCAAGUCAUCAUGGCCCUUACGACCAGGGCUACACACGUGCUACAAUGGCGCAUACAAAGAGAAGCGACCUCGCGAGAGCAAGCGGACCUCAUAAAGUGCGUCGUAGUCCGGAUUGGAGUCUGCAACUCGACUCCAUGAAGUCGGAAUCGCUAGUAAUCGUGGAUCAGAAUGCCACGGUGAAUACGUUCCCGGGCCUUGUACACACCGCCCGUCACACCAUGGGAGUGGGUUGCAAAAGAAGUAGGUAGCUUAACCUUCGGGAGGGCGCUUACCACUUUGUGAUUCAUGACUGGGGUGAAGUCGUAACAAGGUAACCGUAGGGGAACCUGCGGUUGGAUCACCUCCUUACCUGAAAGAA
Molecule: ribosomal RNA, 1550 nt
Filed under: Salmonella enterica
Lineage: Bacteria; Pseudomonadati; Pseudomonadota; Gammaproteobacteria; Enterobacterales; Enterobacteriaceae
Description: bacterial SSU rRNA
Rfam family: Bacterial small subunit ribosomal RNA
Source: RNAcentral